CAGGGCCCUCUGGGGAUGGCAUGAUUCCCAGAAUGCAGCUGGUCGCAGGGACCCAGGCCUCUGGGUAGCUCAGAUCAUCCCUUCCCCAAGUUCUGGGUUCCCUCUAUACUCUUCCCAAGCUAGUGUCCACACCACCCCUGGAGAGCUGGCUGGUUGGAAUGUCUUCUCUCUGCCACGCUUGGCCUUUUGGUCCACCUGUGAAUCAACUACUAUUGGAUGGAAACACUCUUUCCCAUAUUUGCCUAGGCUGGGCAGCUUGCUCUUACUUGCCGAGGAAAGGCCACUCUGUUUGGCUGUUACUGGAGGCCCCUGGGGGUCUCAGACCCUGUCCACAGACAGCAGUUACUAUGGGGGGAAAGGCAUGGGUGUGGAGUCAGACUGGAUUAUAGCUCCUGGGCUUGUCAGCUAUGUGAUUUUGGACAAACUAACUUACUUCUCAGAGACGCUGUUUCCUUAUCUGGAAAUAGUAUGGCAGUGCCUUAUGGGGUUGUCAUGAGGACUGGAGAUAAGUAUCAGAGCUCCUAGCAGGGGUCAAUAGACAAACCUUCUUGCCCUUGCACACCUUAUCACAUGUGACUUUUCUCUUCCAAUCUCCUCUCUGGCCAAAAUGAUCAGUUUGUUCAGCAGUCAUGUGCUGAGAGUCUACUUUGCACCAGGCACCGUGACCUUUAUCUCCACAGCCCUGGGAAGUUGAUGCCUUUAAGCUCAUUUGAUUCAAGAGGCCACUGUGGCUUGGAGAGAGAAUAAGGGUUAGAAGGCUACCAGCCGGUAGAGCCAGGAGUUGAUGCUGGGUCUUCAAGAACUAAUGGGAACCCCAUUCCAUGGGCUUCCGUGGAUGGUUUCUCUGCCUGGAAUGUCCUCCCACCUCUUCUCUUUUCUGGAUCAUUCAGGGUCUCAUUCCUUCUGUUGCCUCCAGAACACCUUCCGAAUCAGUGAGGACACUUGUGGUUGCGUGUGGAAGUUAGUUGCAAGUUUGCUGACGAUUUCCUCUGACCAGAUGAGCUAUUAUCUCACAAAAGCAAGGACGGUCUCCUCUAUUAUCACUAUUAUCACACUCAAUAAAUUUAAAUUGAUGCAAUAUUGCCUAAUAUAUAUUCCAUAUUAAACUCUCUCCGUGUUCUUUUUAAUCUAGAAUCUUUUAAAAAAAAUUUUUUUUUAACGUUUAUUUAUUAUUGAGAGACAGAGACAGAGCAUGAGCAUGGGAGGGACAGAGAGAGAGGGGGACACACAGUCCGAAAGCAGACUCCAGG
This 1250-nucleotide long non-coding RNA is filed under the name Felis catus (domestic cat). RNAcentral's name for it is "lncRNA (ENSFCAG00000047848.1)". The record is from RNAcentral. Lineage: Eukaryota; Metazoa; Chordata; Mammalia; Carnivora; Felidae.